This 396-nucleotide ribosomal RNA is filed under the name uncultured cyanobacterium. RNAcentral's name for it is "bacterial SSU rRNA". It matches the Rfam family "Bacterial small subunit ribosomal RNA", at positions 354 to 753 of the family's 1533-position model. Lineage: Bacteria; Bacillati; Cyanobacteriota. The record is from RNAcentral.
AUGGGGAAUUUUUCGCAAUGGGUGAAAGCCUGACGGAGCAAGACCGCGUGGGGGAAGAAGGCUCUUGGGUUGUAAACCCCUUUUCUCUGGGAAGAAAGUUGUGAAAGCAACCUGACGGUACCAGAGGAAUCAGCAUCGGCUAACUCCGUGCCAGCAGCCGCGGUAAGACGGAGGAUGCAAGCGUUAUCCGGAAUGAUUGGGCGUAAAGCGUCCGCAGGUGGCAGUUCAAGUCUGCUGUCAAAGACCGGGGCUUAACUUCGGAAAGGCAGUGGAAACUGAACAGCUAGAGUAUGGUAGGGGCAGAGGGAAUUCCUGGUGUAGCGGUGAAAUGCGUAGAGAUCAGGAAGAACAUCGGUGGCGAAGGCGCUCUGCUGGACCAUAACUGACACUCAGGGA